Molecule: long non-coding RNA, 1005 nt
Organism: Drosophila obscura
Lineage: Eukaryota; Metazoa; Arthropoda; Insecta; Diptera; Drosophilidae
Exons: 5
Source: RefSeq, a predicted model, not a curated record
CAAUCCUUACAUUCUCCCUCUCUCUCUCUCUAAACGAGUUCUACCCUUUGAUCCUUCCUCUCACUGUCAAACAGGUUUUUCAUCUCCUUGAACUAUAUCUGAUGUGAUAGUUUAGAGGUAGUUUUUUUCCAAAGCAUUUACCUGUAAAAGGAUCUCGUUGACCUUAAACCUCUUUUUACUAUUCUGUUUAAAUUCCUUCUCUGUAUUGUAUUCCCAACACUGUCCUAUAGUUGAGUGCCUAUAUAAUAGCUACUGUUGUGCAAAAGAAAUAUACAAAAGUUUUCAGUGAGCAGCAGAAGAAACAUUAAAAAGUGUAAAAAUGGAUAUCGACGAUGAGUUACUUAGAAUCAUCUGGAAAUCUUUUGAUUAUAUUAUGGAGCCACUGUAUGUAGUUGUUUUGGCUUUUUUGCGGUUCCUUGUCAAAGACAAAGACUCACAGCCACUGUAAGCUGAAUUUGAAUUUAAUCCGGUUGAAAUAUCUUGGUAUUAUAUAGUUUUGGCAAUAGGCAGUGACAUGACUUAAUGUUUGGCUGACAGUGUGAACACAUGUACAAUUUGGAAAUAAAAACUUUUUGUAUAUUUUAAAAAUUUUAGAAACUGGAAUAACGUAUCGAAGUUUAAAAUAUAUCUCAGCUGAUAAUAUUCGUGUGACUCUCCCCAAUAUUGGUUUAACGGCUGAAUUUAGAGUGAAAUUAUUCGCUUGGAAAAAGAAAGAGUUUAAUUUUGACGACGAAACAUUGUCCGCUAAUUCAAAAGAUGUAUCUUGGAUUCAAAAAAGUUCUCCUUCGAACUCGUUUUCAGCUGGUUUAAUGAUUGGAAUGUAGUCGUUGAAAAAUGGUCACAAAAAUUUGAUUUGCGUCGUAAGAACUUACAGAAAUUGCACACUACAGAAUUUCUAAAACAAUGUCCAAAACAUUCAGAAAGCUAAGCUCCAGAUUUGGUUUCAAGUAGACUUUGACCAUUUAUAUCCUGAAAAGGGACUUCACUUCGAAGCAUAAAUCCAGC